UCUUCUCACCCUGGAACCAGUACAGCACUGCAGCGUUCGUCAUGCAGCUGUUCUUUCACCUCUUUUCUGUACUCCAUCCUUUUCAACUGUAUGGAACAAAGGAAAACAAACGGAAUUUAUUAGGAAUGAAAAAUGCUACCUUUACAGAUUUUUUAAACAGAUGGGGUUACAAGUACUGAGGUAGCAAGAUUUCAUUGGCUAGUUUAACUUGGUAUUUUGUUCAAAAUAGUAUGAAAUCUUGCAGCUCAGCAUUCUGUAAUCCCAUAUAUUUAACGAGCCUGUACAAGUAGCAUUUCACAUUAGGAAUAGUAAGCAGGCAUGAAUUCUUAGAAGCAGUGCUUUCACAAUGCAAUUGUUUUAUGUAGUUAGGAUAUUUUAUAGGAACGUGAUUCUGCAUAAAAAAAAAGGGGGGGGAAUUUACACAAAUGUCACUAAAAUUGAAAAUGCAAAAAAAAAUUGGACAUUCACCAAUUUCUUCCAAGAAUGUCAAUUUUUCCCUACAAAAUGUCCACUUUACCCUUUAACACCUUUUUGGAGCAAUAAAUGCUUGAUUUGAAUGCAAUUUUUGUUAUGAUGUGAUUAAUUUUUUUUUUUUGCCUUAAAUUUAAUAUUGAAGAUAUGAUAUUAUAUUGUAUAAUAAGAUUUUUUUUGAUUAAAAAAGGGGUGAAAUCUUUACAAAAUACACACACACAUACGAAUUGAAAGAGCUUCUUCUUCUUCAUCAUCUACACUCCAUCAUCGACAAGGAAACAAGGAAAGCCAUUGACAAAUUUGAAAGGUAAGGUAGUAGAAAAAAGUUCAUCUCAUGUCAUAGUUGACUACUUUAAAUGUUCAAUACAAUAUGAUCAUAUUUAAAUGAACCCUUUCAAUCUCUUAUUCAUUGAUGUAGUAAAUUUUUGGUAUAUUUUAAAAAGAAAAAUUAUACCAAUAUUAUAUAGAAAAUGUGAAGUAUUCCAUAUAUAAUUCAACAUUUAAUGAAGCAUUAAGUGAUACCUUAUUCAUUUCUAAAAAGAUACAGUGAUAUUGUAGUUCAGAAUUUAUUAUGGCCUUUAUCAUUUUCAAUAAAUUCGUCAAACAGUGAAGCACAUGGAAUUUAUCUUUCUUGAAAGUUAUGGCAGUAGAACUGUCGAGCAGUAUCUUGGAAACUGUCGGGUUAGACAUUUUAACUGUCGAGCUCGACAUUUACUGACUGUCGGGAUAGAAAAUGUAAUUGUCGAUUUCGACACCUGAAAACUGAUCAUCUUUUAUAUCUUUGGUAGUACAUGGAUGUAAGUAUUUUCGUGUGCCAAUUUGAUGUUAUGAAAUGUCGACAUAUGAAUGUGCAGAAUUCUCACUUUUGCAAUCCUAACAUUUCAGGUAUGAGUCAUGAUUUCAGAUUCAUCGUGUCGCAUGGAGGAAACUUCGUUCACUCAGAUGAUGAAUGGAAGUGGAGAGAGGACAAAACCACUUCCAUUUUAGUGUCGAGAAGUAUUACCGUAGCAAAACUUCUGUUACGAUUGAAGGAGAAACUUGGUAUCGUUGAAUCCCGCAAUGCAAUCGAAUUGAAGUUCAAAGUCCCGAACUUGAAUCUACCUCCGGCAGAGAUACGCGACGAUGAGGAUCUACAGUGGUACAUAUCUGUUCAUAAGGAAACUGCACUCUGCAUCACAUAUUUGGUAUCCGAGCUCCCAUUUGUUGGUAUGGCAACAGAUGCAAACUGUGAAGGGAACUUGUUCGGCCCAACGGAAUGUCCACUAAAUGUACAACAUGACGAGAUGAAUCAUCAGCACAGUGUGUCGCAAACCGAACCACCCGAACCUCCAAUUGAGCGUAUAGAGGCUGCAGCAUCCGCCGAACACUUAGAGAACCCAUUACAUGGUACAGAUCGUGCUAUUAUUGCUGGAAAUAGAUGAGACAAUGUCAUCAAAUUCCAGACGUUCGUGCACAGAUGAGUGGAUUACAGCUGCAAAUAUAUCGGUUCUCGCUGAGAAGCAAAUAUUCUUUACCAAGGAACAGUUGUACUCGAAGUUUCAUGUACUUGCUUUGCAAGAGAAGUUCCGAUUCCGGGUAAGCAGGUCAAGCUUGAAAAUGUUAGCAGUUGUCUGUGUUGAUGAUAAUUGCAAGUGGAUGCUACGUGCUUCUACUGUCAAGCAAUCUGCAAUCUUCAUGACUCGUAAGUUCGUUGCAGUUCACACAUGUUACCUUGAUUUUCGUCGUAACGCACAUCGGCAUGCCACUAGUGCUGUAAUUGCGGAGCAUAUUUUGGGAAAAUUGGAUACUCCAUACCGAUCAUAUCCGCCUACUCAUAUUGCACGUGAUAUGGAACGUGAGUUUGGUGUGAAAAUCAGUUAUAGCAAAGCACGUAGGGGGAAGCUCCAUGCCUUAAAUAUGCUACAUGGUAUACCAAGGGACAGUUUUUAGAAAUUAUCUUCGUACUGUCACGUCGUAGGAGAAAGUAACCCGGGGACCGUUACCCACAUCGAAGUUGAUUCUUGUAAUAGGUUUCGUUACUUCUUCGUAGCUUUUGGUGCAAGCAUUCAUGGAUACAUGCAGUAUUUGAGACCCGUUAUUUGUGUUGAUGGCAGUCACUUGAAAGGUCCAUACAAAGGUACACUCCUAGUGACAACUGCCUAAGAUGGUAAUAAACAGAUUUAUCCGUUGGCAUGGGGGAUCGUGGAUGCUGAAACCAAUAAAUCGUGGACGUGGUUUUUGUCGAACUUGAAAGACCUUAUAGGGGAUUCCGAAGAACUCGUGUUCGUUUUAGACAGGAAAAAGAGUAUUCAGAAAGCUAUUUCUCAGUUGUUUCCGUCGUCUCGGCAUGGUUGUUGUAUAUGGCAUAUGGAAAAGAACCUAAUACAACGGUAUAACAACGCAAGCCUAUUAUUUCUAUUCAAACAAGCUGCUACAACUUUUCGGGUCGAGGACUUCGAACGACUCAUGGGACAGAUUCGUAGAGUAAGCAAAAGAGCGCACGGGUACUUAGAGCGAGCGGGAUAUUCAUUUUGGUCCAGAGCACUAUUUAUUGGACACCGUUACAAUAUUAUGACAAACAACAAUGCAGAGUCGUUGAACUCGAUGUUGAGAGAAGCCCGGUCGUUACCGAUAACCUGCUUGGUUGAACACAUUCGGAGUAUUAUGCAGAAGUGAUUUUACGAACGUCGAGCAAAUGCAGAAGAAUGCAGUACCUUAUUGACACCAAGGAUGGAGAACGAGCUACGGACGACUUUCGAAAAUGGAACUAAGCUUCGAGCCCAUGUCCUGACAAACAACUUGACGCAGGUUGGAAUAUCCAACGACAUGGACAUAGUUGACUUGUCCGAAGAAACCUGCACAUGUCGUGAGUUCCAACUAAACCGUAUGCCAUGUGUUCAUGCAAGUCGUGCUGCUUGCUUUAGAGGGAAGACGUUGUACGAGCUUUGCUCCCGUUAUUAUUCAUCGGACUACUGGAAGGGUGCCUACAGCGAAACUAUAUAUCCUGUUCCGAGGGAAGUGGAUUGAGUUGUUCCGAGCUUAAUUACAUGUACUCCUAUUUUCCCACCACUCGUACGUCGUCCUCCAGGUAGACCACCAACCCGCCGUAACCGUUCUAGGUAUGAGUAUGCAUGGUCUACCAGAAAAUGUACCCGCUGUGGUAGAGUUGGUCAUAAUCGGACCACCUGUUCAAACCCUCGUGUAUCACAUGCUCCUUAAAGAUUUGCAGGUUAAUAGAUGUUGUAUGUUAAUUAUUCUGUACUACAUCGAACAUUAUGAAGGGCCCAUAAGUACUUUUUGGAAAGGUAUCGACCCUUUUGAAUUGAACUAACCCUUUUCCUCAUGACAUAUAAGGGAUUUCGGCCAUUUGUGGAACAACAAUCACUUGCUUAUUUGGUACGCUUUGAUUGUUGGCGAUCGAAGAACUAAGUGUGACUUUUGCAUAUGAUUUCCGUUUUGGGCCCUUAUGUACUUUUCGAAAAGAUAGCGACCCUUUUGGAUUGAACUCACUCUUUACCUCAUGACGUAUAAGGGAUUUCUACCGUUUGUGGAGGAACAAGCACUUGCACAUUUAGAAUGCUUGGAUUGUCGGCGAUCGAAGAACUGAGUGUGACUUUUGCAUACGACAUCCAUUUUGGGCCUAUAAGUACUUUCCGAAAAGGUAGCGACUCUUUUGGAUUGAACUCACCCUUUUCCCAACAAUGUAUGAGGGAUUUGGGGCAUUUGUCUAAGAGCAAGCACUUGCUUAUUUGGAACGCUUGGAUUGUUGGCGAUCGAAGAACUGAGUGUGACUUUCGCAUAUAGUGUCCGUUUUGGGCCCAUGAUUUACAGUUUGUGAUCAUUAAUGUUCUUGCAUGUUGCGCAUCCUGUUGUGUACAUAAAAAUUUCACUCUGUGUCCAGCACGUAGUAAACAUCCCGCCCAGUUCAAAUGUCGGUCCCAAUAAAUGUGUUACUUAUUCUCGACAGUUGACGAAACCUUGCACUGCAGUCACGGUUUGCGUCACAUAUACAUGUUGUGACCUCUAAACACAAGAACGGAAAAUGUUUGAUACUGUACAUAUUUUUUUUUUCCAUUUCGAAACGCAAUUUUCUAUCCCCCUACAGAUUUACUAUCAUUAGCAUCAUCUUAAAUCGAAAUUAAAGGUAGUGCAAAACGCAAUCUUGAAUCCCGAAGAAAUGUACAAUCAUUUGCGUCAUCGUAAACCAUGGAUUAAAGUUAGUCCAUGAUACACACCUUUCACAAUAGCCGUUUUACAUACUGCAAAAUACAUAACCAUUUUUGUACAUAUUAUCCUUACUGCCCGACAGUUGACAUGUCGUCCCCGACAGAUAGUCUCAGUAAUUCUCGACAGUUUGAUCGAAAAACGCAAAAAACAUGACACGAAUUGCAUCUUAGAGACAUGUUCACGUGGACUUUUUGGUAUUGUCUUAACUAAAGUCAUCCCUACAAAAUACCUUACUAUACAGUACUUAUUCACUACAUUCCAUGGGUGUCACAUUAGUCGUCGUCCACAACUGAACCACCGUCCCCGCUAUCCUCACCUGACUCGUCGGAAGAGAUGAUAAUUACCUCAUUUGGGGGAUCGUACGCCAUCCAGUCGUCCUCAUCGUCGAAAUCCCCCUCGUAUCCGGCAUCCAGCUUGAACUCUUCAUUGAGGACUCCAUUUGGUGAUUGCGCACCCUCGUUGGAAACAACUUCUAAGUUGGGAAAACGAACGGGGGAAAUGGCUCCCCUCCCAAUACGAGGGUUAACUUCCUCCUCAUCUGACGAAAUAUAAAUUGGAAAAAGUGGAGAUGAACCAAGAACUGGCAGUGGCUCGUUCAUGUUCAACGGUUCGUUGCUUCCUGUGGAAGAACUCAUUACGUAAACGUAUAGUAGUACUGAAAGAAUGAUAAGUGUCUGUGAGAAGAUGAAUGGGUGACAAUGGUCUUGAAGGAACUUGUUUGUAAGUGAGAAUGAAGUCCCACAGUUUUUAUAAGCAAAUUGAAGGGGAAACAAUUAUGGUCUCCAUCUACCCAACCACCAAGUCCAAUCUCCUAGUAAAUUUGAGAUGCACUUGGUGUGAUGGUUGAAUAAAUGAAGUGUACCUUUAUCCCCCAUUUUCCCAUACUUAGUACAAUGUUAAACACUCUUUAAUCAUGUGCACAAUUAAGGAAAUGUGCAUAUCUGUAACAAAAAACUGCUCAAUCAAAUUGCUACUUUUAAUUUGCCAUGGUUGUAAUGGUAUAGUUUCUCACACGUACGGGUCAUCAUCGCAACACACAUGGAAGACGAACAACGAAAUAAUUAUUUUUACUCAAUUCAUUGAUUUAUGAAUUACUUUUACCGUGGUUGUCAUGCUCUUGACACUUGUAACGACUCAUCUUCUCGUUGCAUCUCAUGUAUGUGCCUUAAUGCCUUACUUUGAGAAUUUAUCAUAGUAAUAUCGUCCCAGAUUAAAGCUAUAGUGAAGACUAGAUACCACUACAUAAAUUUAUGAAAUAUAACAUUUACUAUUUAACAUAAGCAACAUGGGUGUAAGAAGCGUAACACAAAUUAGAAAAUCUUAAAGACUCGAAGUAUAUUACUACAUCUAUAAUAAGAUUGGAUCGAAUAUCAACAAUAUCAACAAAACAGUACUUACAAAGCAUUUCAGGAAAUUGGCAUGUUGCAUACGCAUGUUCCCCUCCUCCAUCUCCAGAUGUGUCAUCCUCACCACUUCUUCCACUCGAGACUCCGUCAUCGGAUUCCUGCCUCACCAACUGGCCGCCACUUCCACUACCUUCGUGUGAUGUAUUAAACUGCGGCCCCACAACAUUCCUGGCAAUCUCAUCCAGCACAGGCACCGGAGGAUCAUCAUACGGCACGAGAGUGGAGAAAUACUGUUGUUCCGCCUCAGCAUCGGUGGGACGAAGUGUGGUAUACACAUGCAACUGCAAUGUACAAUUAUACAUUAGAAACGAAAAGCUUCAGGAAUGACAUGAAACGUGAAUAACAAUAAUAACACGUGGUAUCCAUACCCGCACGUUCUUGAAGAAUGCAUUGUAUGUACGAUGCUGUGAUUGUUUUCGUGCGGACCACCUAAGCAAUCGUGGCAUUUGUUCCCUAACUCUCUGACCAAAACGUUCCCCAAUCUCGGGAACUACCUCAUACGCCCAAACCUGUUCCAUCAAGACAAACAGAAAUAAAAUAACUGAGAUGGAACGCACGAUGCUACAUGACGGCAAACAAAUAAAGCAUGAUAUGCUACUAUUUAAAACUUGUGUACCUGCAUGGCAAUGGGAAAGCCAUGAAUAGUGUAUGUAACCUCCUUCUCUUGCCUCCUCUUCGCCUUCAGGAAUUUCUUUGCCCAGAAACCCCAGAAUCCGUGCAGCAAAUGCCGAUAGCCGACUCUACCCCAAGGGUAGGCAAAAAAGAUAUCUAGGUUGUCGACAAUAGAUAGUGUACGCAAAUCAAUUCUGACGUUAUUAUCAGGGGCAUUGAAAACUCUUUCGACUAUUAGCACGAGCCCUAGCUUGUAACGGUUGGCUCGGGUCAUCGAAGGUCGGGCAAUAGUAGUUUGGAGUUGUGCCAACGAUAUCUUCUCCAUGGAUUUGAAGUAUCUCUCCUUCAGCCUUCUCCUCUCCAGCACUCGAUCGAACUCAUAAUCCUCCGAGAAUACACUGCAUCUUAACCCCGUCACAAGGGUGUAUUCCUGUAGACCGAAUCUCAUCAUGUUGCCUUUCACAUUAAACCAGAGCUCGUUAACCUUGUCAGUGCGAAUGGUUCUGAACACGAGCUGAUGGAUGAGCUGGGCAGAGAAUUGAAUCUCUGCAACCUCGGCCAGAUACCCGAAUGGGGAGUUUCGAAACUCGUCGAGCUGUCGGUCAUCAAAAACGUCCUUCACUGUCUUCACAUACUUCAAGUUGCUCCUCUGUGAAAUGUGGGGCCGCAACCUUGCCUCCUCUGGAAUACAAUAAUCAAACUCCAUCAGUCCUGUGUCCUGCAAGAUGCAUUCAUAAAACUCACUGGGGUUACUGGAUAAACUUAAAGAUAUUGUAUCAUAAAUAGCAGUUUAAUGAAACACACUAAGGCAUGGACACACUCGACUGUCGAGAAAAACUGACUACAACUGUCGGUACCGACAGAUGAUCUGUCGAGAUCUAUCGAUACCAACAGUUGAUGUCCAAACAUGCAAGAAGGCUGGCCUAACUAUCGAGAAAACCUGAGCUCUACUGUCGGGAACGACAGUUCAGUGGGAGGCAUUGAACUUGUUAUUGCUGAGAUAAAAAUUACGUAACUUAAUCACUAUUACCACAUAAUAUUAAAGCAAAUAUUUGAAUGGAUUGAGGCCCCAAUAAUGCAUGUAAACAAAUGAUUGACAGUUCAGUGGGAGGCAUUGAACUUGUUAUUGCUGAGAUAAAAAUUACGUAACUUAAUCACUAUUACCACAUAAUAUUAAAGCAAAUAUUUGAAUGGAUUGAGGCCCCAAUAAUGCAUGUAAACAAAUGAGUGAAAAUGAUUGAUGUAUUAUACAAGUUUUAGCAUUCAGCGAUUGGAAUAUAAAUAAUGGAAACGUAAUAUUGAUAAGCAGAAUAGUUAACAAACAUUAGACCUCAUUAUCAUGUGCCUAAUGCCCAUCAACACACCUAAAACUCUACCGUUAUAUAACGGUAUCCUAUGGCAUUAUAUUACAGUAUAUUAAAAAAAUCCAUGUUGUCUAAGUCUAAAGAAAUAUAAAAUUGGAAUAAUAUCUUACAGAGAUCUUUGAUAUCCAUGUUCACAGUCACAGCUUACCAGAAAGAAGAGGGGAAAAAAGGAUAGCAGAAGUAGGUCAGACAAAUGAUGAGAAAGAUAAACUAAAUAAGUAUUCCCAACUCCACUGCUCUUCACAAUUCAAUAUAAAAGACUACAGAUGCCUCUUACCCUAAAAUUUAUUAAUUGGGUGGGGCGUGGGAAGCAUGUUAAAAGUCCCGGUUACAUGGGAGUUUUUGUCACAAUGCUUCUUCGAUUUUUAGAUUAUGAAAUCCCAACCUGCAUAUGGUAGCAAGAUGCAAUUCAAAUCAACCCGCAAUCCCCAAUGCUGAUAAUCAUACAUCAGAAAUAAUCCUGAACAAAGUUUUUUAAUCCACAGCUUCUAUUUUCAUUUUGUAUGGUGUGACAAUUAUACUCUACCAAAAUCAACACAUUGAUAUGUCUAUAUGAAGUAAACAUGUUGUCGUACGCUCAAUAAGAAUCAUACUGACUAUAACUAGAUCAUUAGAUUAGGAUUUUAAAGCAAUUACACGGAGUAGACCACAAUCUAAAGAAAAAAGAAACUGAAACGGAGGUCAAUACUUUGAUUGCGUGUUGAAUCUUUCCACCAGAAGGUGAUAUGAUAAAACGAAUGUGUCAACCGGAAGAAGAAUCAACAUUAGAUGGUAAUAUUACAGACAACUACACAUCUUAAUGAAAAUCCAUGUAUCUGACAUAGCUUCUAAUAGAAACAACUCCACCGUACUGAGACAAAAUUGUAAGUCCACAUGACAAUAUAUUUAUUUUCUCCACUUAUCUACAUCUCCCGUUCAUGUGAUUUUACGCCCCCAAGGGAUCUACUUUGGUCAUCACAAUCGAGACAAACAUUCAAAUGAGCCUUGCUAUCAUAUGGUAUCCAAAAUGGAGGAAUAUUAUGUAGGACUACUUCGGGAUCUAUCAACUAUAAUUUUAAAAUUUUACUUCUAAUAUGGUAGCAUAAAAUGAGGAACUUCAGGGUUCAUUAAUUUUAUGGCUGAGAUGACUUGGAAAAGGUGAGUUUUAAGAUACACAACUGAAGGUUUGGAGCUUCAGGAGGAAAUGGAUAAAAAAAAAAAGGUUCAAUAGGCUGUUCUAGGUGUUGUGUUAAACAAUACCCUAGAAGAUAACCAUUCAGUUAGUGAGGUUUCACGGUGUCAAAAGGAUUAGGAAAAAUCCGGGCAUCUCAAAAACAGUUGGGUUGAAAACACAUGACGCGAUCCACAUGGAAUCAAAAGCUCAGAAAUGUUUAAGUACACUAAACAACUAAAUUGAAGAAUGGUACGAGUAAUUCUUAGAGUUCGAUCCCUACCAUCCAACUAGGAUGGACUUCGAGCCAUAUACAAGUGGAGGAAAACACAAAAACAAGGAAUACCAAGCAAAAGCUUCUCUGACAUUCCAAAAACUUCACCAAUUCACACAAUUUUUAGGACAGCAAUAAUAUCAUUAACUGUGAAAUAUCUAGAAAGUACACCAAUGCUGAGCUUAAGAGACAGUGACAACUAUAUGAUGAUAAACACUACGAACGGUACAAAAUUUGCUAGGAAAACUGCAAGAAAUUGUACAGAGAAAAUACUUGUAUGCAUAACAUUACAAGUCAAAAGUCAUCUUGCAAGAUGAGGCCGCCAGCAAUUGAAUUAAGAUUCAAUGAUAAUUUUCAGUAACGAAAAAAAUAAUUACUUCUUCAAAGGAAAUCAAAUGUGCAUUUCAAAAAGCAAUUUGCACCUUCUAAUUGUUCAAGAAUUGCAUAAUGAAAGAAAUGUGGAUCUUGAUUGUACAUUACAACUUAUGGCUGCAUCCUACUAUUGGCCAACAAAGAGGAACAAAACAUGAAAUUCCAAUGGGAAGUCAAAAGAUGGGUGGAUUUACCUUCGCCUUUGUUCGGUUUCUCUGGCAGUCGCAAGGGAGAAAACAGCCUUCGACGUUGUGCUCAGCUUCGGGCGAUUCGACUGACAAUGGGAGUGAUUUCGACAUUGACGAUCGUCGUCCAAGGCUGGGAGUGAGGUCGGCGAUUGCAGAGAGAGCUUCGACGUUGUGCUCAGCUUUGGGCGAUUCGACUGACAAUGGGAGUGCUUUCGACGUUGACGAUAGUCGUCCAAGGCUGGGAGUGAGGUCGGCGAUUGCAGAGAGAGCUUCGAAGUUGUUUUAGGUGAGAGGCGACGUUUGGCUUUCUCUUCCUUCAUCUCGCUUUUUUUUCUUUGUUUUUCUUCUCCAAACACCUCCUCCCUGACACAAUUCUGCCUAGUCAAAGCUACAAUUAAUGCAAAACCUGUAAGGUAUUACAUUUAUGCAAAGGGGUAAAUUAGUCCAAAACUUUCAUAAUUUGCCAUAUUUGUAAUGUCAGAAAAAGGAUGACAUUUGUGUAACUAAAAAUCAAGAUUUUGACAUGUGGUGUAAUUUCCACUAAAAAUAUGCAUGCUGGUAAUAGUCAUACUUACUUUAUGGAAACAAAAGUUGUUACGCCCAAAUAUUCUCAACAUGGUUUUACGUAGGUGACCAAAUUCAUGUGUCUGCCGACCCCAUCAAAUAUUACUGACGCUCCGCAAGUAAGAGUACCUGCUCAAGAGCAUCCAUGAGGAAAGGCGAAGCCGCAGAAGAAGAUUGGCACAAGAACUUCAAAGCAAUCUUUUUGACGUGAUUGAUAUGACAAUUCAUUGUCAGUGCUGCCACUAUCAACCUAUCCAGUCAAGUCCACGGUUGCCAGCUAGGAGACAUGGAUGCUAAAAUGGCAUUAGCAUUUAAGCCUUAUGAUUGAUUGAUGUCUAAGAUAAGAGGUCUCGGCUAUAUAGAUGAGACCACAUGUUUUUUCAUUCGAUGGUUCUUACUCGCCCUCCUCUACCAUAAAAAUUCACACUUGAUGUCAUUCGAGGGUAACACAAUUUUAGACUCUAAAACUAUAAAUUUGUCAUAUCACUAUUUUUUUCUUUACUCCCCAAAACUUGCCCUCUUUUUACAUACGUCUAAAGUCCUCCCACACUCAUACAUCAACGUCCUCAAUUGACUUAACCGUCAGAAUGCAUGCAGCUAACUAUAUCCUGCCGAAGGAGACCACAUGUCGCUAACGGUUUGUCCAAGUGAACAAAAACACGGCUUAUGUGGACGUGAAAGGUCUUGAGAUCUGUUGGUUAUAAUGGAGGUAAAUUUUUUUAGGUUAACUCGUCCAUGGGAAAUCGGUGCAUUAACCAUUUUAUCAUGUCUGAAAGGCCAUUGCGAAGGAUAAUUUUUUUCGAGCAGUUCGAAGAAGUCAGCCAUCACAAGAAUUUCAGAAAAAAGGCAAUUUCAGAUUAAAUUUGUGAGAUGGAAGGAAUUAAAACAAGAAGAAUAGGAACUUGGACAAGAAGGUGGGCGGCAACGCUGUAGCGUAAGUCUCUGGCCAUUAACAGUGAAGCAACGCAACAAAAUCACAUUGUAAAAAUCAUGUUUGAAAAAGUUCAGAUGGAUAGAGAUGUUACAUAUAUAUUUUUAAGAAUUUUUACUUUUAAUAAGCUCUCUUCAAUUUCUUCACCAAAAGCUUAAGGAGUAUAAUUUUCAUAAACAAGUGAUAAUAAGAUUUGACCUUAUCAUCUACGAAUUCAUCGAUGCCGUGUUGACGAUUAUAGAUAAUUAAAGCAAUUCGAAAUUGAAGAAAAAGUAUUAAACUCAUAAAUAAUCGAAUGAUGUAAUAAACAAACAACUACGAUAAUUUAUUUUCCAAUUCAACAUAAAAUAUAUGAUUUUAUUGAGUAACAUAUCAAAUAUGUUUUUUAAGUAAUUGAAACAAAUACUUACAUCCCAUCCACCCAAAACGUGUGAUGAACCCGUUAUCCUCCAUUGUCAUGACACCCCCCACGCUUCCCCUUUUAAAG
RNAcentral lists this long non-coding RNA (12025 nucleotides) under Olea europaea (common olive). Its description in RNAcentral is "long non-coding RNA (OEUR_LNC009101)". The record is from RNAcentral. Lineage: Eukaryota; Viridiplantae; Streptophyta; Magnoliopsida; Lamiales; Oleaceae.